RNAcentral lists this ribosomal RNA (649 nucleotides) under uncultured archaeon. RNAcentral's name for it is "bacterial SSU rRNA". It matches the Rfam family "Archaeal small subunit ribosomal RNA", at positions 39 to 692 of the family's 1478-position model. The record is from RNAcentral.
ACCCAAAAAGCCAUGCGAGUCUGAGAGGGUUCGGCCCUCGGCUGACGGCUCAGUAACACGUGGAUAAUCUGACCUUAGGUGGAGGAUACUCUCGGGAAACUGAGAAUAAUACUCCAUAGGCCUAGGAUGCUGGAAUGCACUUAGGCUCAAAGUUCCGGCGCCUAAGGAUGAGUCUGCGGACUAUCAGGUUGUAGUCAGGGUAAUGACCUGACUAGCCUACAACGGAUACGGGUUGUGAGAGCAAUAACCCGGAGAUGAUAUCUGAGACACGAUAUCAGGCCCUACGGGGCGCAGCGGGCGCGAAAACUUCACAAUGUGCGAAAGCACGAUGAGGGAAUCCCAAGUGCUUGCACGUAAGUGUAAGCUGUUUUUAUGUUUAAAACGCAUAGAGAGUAAGAGCUGGGUAAGACGGGUGCCAGCCGCCGCGGUAAUACCUGCAGCUCGAGUGGUGGCCGCUAUUAUUGGGCCUAAAACGUCCGUAGCCGGUUUAAUAAAUGCCUGGGUAAAUCGUGUAGCUUAACUAUACGAAUUCCGGGUAGACUGAUAAACUUGAGACCGGGAGAAGCUAGAGGUACUCCUGGGGUAGAGGUGAAAUUCUGUAAUCCUAGCGGGACCACCAGUGGCGAAGGCAUCUGGAUAGAACGGAUCU